AAGACACUAGUAUACUAGCCAAAUACACGGCCUUGUCAAGGCUGAGUCGUGGGUUAAAGUCCCGCGUGUCUUG
RNAcentral lists this transfer RNA (73 nucleotides) under Ambloplites rupestris. Its description in RNAcentral is "tRNA-Asp". It matches the Rfam family "tRNA". From Rfam's summary of the family: Transfer RNA (tRNA) molecules are approximately 80 nucleotides in length. Their secondary structure includes four short double-helical elements and three loops (D, anti-codon, and T loops). The record is from RNAcentral. Lineage: Eukaryota; Metazoa; Chordata; Actinopteri; Centrarchiformes; Centrarchidae.